AUGGACCCGCCAAAAUCCCCGUGGAGGUAUCCUUUCAAUAGGCCGGCAAUAACGGGCACAGCCUUCAAAAGGAGCAUCUCUCAAGACUCCAACUCUAGCAUAUCUAGUGUAGCAGUUCCUCAUGUCACGUUGCCAGGAGGUCCGACGCUCAGCAUCCUCCGGUCCAGAGGACUGACCCACCUCCUUCCUCAUCGUUACCAGGGCGAAGUAGUCUUCGAAGUAAACCGGUGCAAGAAACUGCCAUGUGGUGAAAACCAGAUCCAGAUUGAUUCUUAUACUACGCAUUUUGUAAUACAUCAAGUAAAAUUCGGUUCAGGAAAGAAAUGCGGUUGCAGUUUUCGGGUCGUUGACAUACUCGUAUCAUUUUAGAACCAGGCGAAACUGAUUGUGAUUUCAUUUUACCUUUGUAAAUUAUGAUGUAAAAUGCGACUGAGGUAUUCAGGCUCAUGUUAGUUGGCAGAAACCAAUUUCCAGGUAAAGCUAUUGAAUCAUGACUGAUCUGAAGCUAAAAUGAAAGGAAACAGAGAGGAGCUGUAGGAAAAUUGGAGAGACAUUAUAAAAAAAUCUUCCUCACGCGCUUAAGUCUUUGCUUAAGAGUUUGUAUCUUCCCUAUUACUCGUAAUAUUUUGAUUAAAAAAACAUCCAAACUCCUAUAACUCCGUUGAAUGCCACAUCUUGAUCCCAGAAUACCCCAGUGGAGCCCAAAAUCAAAUUUUUUUGUAAUAUUUUAUGUUAUUCCAUGAUGGAAUUGUUUUUGCGUUAAUCAAUGUAUUUAUGUGAUUGACUGAAACUUACUGAUUGACUAAUGUAUAGUUGUAUAAAUACAUCAGUUUAAAUGUGUACAGUAGUACAUCACAACGCUUUUAACGAGAGAAGAACAUUUCUAUAUAAAUAAUUACAAAAUUUUACGUCGCGAGGUGCUCAUCCUGUAAAAAGAUUUAUACUUUGAGCGCUCCAUAAGAUUAACUUCUGUUCUCCUGUUCAUCGCUAAGGAUACAUUUUUUUUGCAGCUACUUUUUCUCACACUGCUAAGAAUCUCAGUGCACGUUUAAUGCCUAAAACCAACAAAGAAAAUGUUGUAAGAAAAUCAAUUUCAAGGCACUUUUUUGUGUAAUUUACUCUUAUCUUUUUACUCUAAUUCUCGCGAUUAAAAUUUAGUUUAUACAGACACAAAAUGGAAGGCCCUUUUUCGCAUGUGAAAUGUUCUUCUGAGCCUGAAUUGUAGGAUUAAGUAUUUUUCCUUGUACAGUAUUAUUUUUUUAUAAUAACGAGAAUUGUCUUUGUAAACAAUAAGUCAGUGCCCUAGGUCUAUGCAUUUUCUAUUUUUACUUUAUUAUUUUCUUGGUGUAAUAUUUUCGUACAUACGUGAGUGAAACACCUUUAUUUAUUUAAUUUAUUUAAUUGAUUAAUUAAUUAGGAAGAAAAAGUAAUCUGUGAUUUAUUUACGGUACGCGGCCAUUUUACGUAGUGAUAAAGUUACCUCCAUUCUCUCUCCGUCAAAAUAGAAGAAUGAUAACAGUCAAGCUCAAAAUUGAUAGAGGGCUCCCUUUUUCCACAUUUCUGGUCCAAUAUUUACUGAUGAGGCUUUCCUUUUAUUUAUUCAUAUUCUUCUCAGUGCGAAAUUCAAUCACGUUCCGCAUUGAUUGCGAAACAACCCCUUCUGAUUUUCAUAACUAAUCAAUCACAAGUCACGACUGAUUCACGUUUUUCUCUUAGCUCGUGUCAUUAAGUUCAUUCCACAAUAAUAUAAUGAAAAAAGCAGGUUUCUCUUUUUCUUCAAAGGGAAACUAUUUAAAUAUGAGCCUCUCAUCUUGUAUGAAAUGACUAGAGAUGAAACUUGGAUUAUAAGGUUUUAUAUGCGAAAAUCCUAAAUUUGAAAUAGAACCCUGCCCACAGUGUUUAGCCAUGAUUGUGUUAUUCUUAUUGUUUUAUAAUUUACCUUACCGCAUGCCUUUUUUCUGUUUUAUUUUUUUUUAGAGCAAAAAUGAAUGUCUUCUUGAGAGUUACUUGAAUAUGUUUUUUAAUCUUCGGACUUGAAAUUUAGAAGAAAUAUCACUUCUCAAUUCAAUUAUAAUAAUUUAUAACAUCGUAACUGACAGACGAUCUACUUCCAGUACGUGAAUAGGAAAAUAAGCCAUAGCUAAUGUUUUUACGAAUUGGUACAUCAUAAUUACGGCUGCUUCCUCUCCACAAUGUGAUUUUUGUAAAAUUAAAUGUUCUUUAGAAUUUAUUUGUUGUGCUUUUAAUUUUACCCUCCAAUUAUUCCUCUUUACCAGUAAAGGCUCCCUUAAACUUACCAUUAUUUUUUCAAGUUACCUCUAUAAAAGAAUGCACAUCGGAGACCAAAGUGCGGAACCACGUAUCUUCGUUUGCGACGUCACAGACUUCCUGUCAUUCUUGAUUUUUUCUUUGGAAAACUGGUCAGCGCGUCCACUUGAAAAUCGCCAUGAUUUUUCCUCUCGGUUUGCAGCAUAUUUUGUACCAAUUUCAAGCCAAGAAGUUGACUUGUUUCGAACCAUUUGAAUAAAAAUAGGCAGAAUAGAAACAGAGAAGCAAGAACAAGAAGGAGAAGGGUUGGAAGAGUAAGGCGAAGGAGGAGUAGAGGAAGAAGAAGAGGAGAAGGAAGAAAAAGCACCUCUGUGCGUAGGAACAUUGAAAGCACUUAAGUUGUUUCUAAAUUGAGCUGAACCACCCAGCUUUCAUCUCUUGGGAAGCCACGUCCCGGCCGACAAGAGGGAAGAAAAAUGGAGUUUCCGGUGUCGCGGGUCGGAGCAACCAUUAGAAUAAGAAUAGGUAGAACAUAGAAACAAAAUAGCGAGAAAAGGAAGGAGAAAAGUUAGAAGAGUAAGGUGAAAGAGGAGGAGAGGAAGAAGAAAAGGAGAAGAAGAAGGGGAGGAGAAAGAAGAAUCACCUCUGUGCCUAGGAACAUUGAAAGGACCUAAGUUGUUUCUAAAUUGAUCUGAAACACACAGCUUUCAUGUCUUGGGAAGCCAUGUCCCGGCCGACGAGAGGAAAGGAAAAUGGAGUUUGAGUUGGGGCUGACAGGACGGAGGAACCAUUAGAAUAAGAAUAGGUAGAGGAUAGAAACAGAAGAGGAAGGAAAGGAAGGAGAAGGGUUAGAAGAGUAAGGUGCAGGAAGAGUUGAUGAAGAAGAGGAGGAGGAAGAAGAGGGAGAGGAAGAAGAAGAGGGAGAGGAAGAAGAAGAGGAGGAGGAGGAAGAAGAAGAAGAAGAAGAAGAAGCACCUCUGUACGUAGGAACAUUAAAAGCACUUAAAAGGAAAGGAAACUUCACUUGUUUCUAAAUUGAGCUUAACCACCAAGCUAUCACCUCUUGGGAAGCCAGGUCUCGGCUGAAGAGAGGAAAGGGAAAUGGGGUUUGAGAUGUCGCGGGACGGAGCAAGCGUGGCACUGGAUCCGGCUCUGGACGUAGUGCUCGCGCUCCUUGAAGAAAACGUCGCCGUCGGUCUUGCGGAGGCACCUCCGGUUGGGGGCGGUGAGGUCGGGCUCGGCCUCGCUGGAGCUGGAGAGGGACGUCCCUAGGUCCGAGACGACGUCCAGGCGCUGGAACCCCGCCGAAGCCCCGCCCCUGCGCAAGGGCGCCCGCGCCCCGGGGGACGCACCUCGUGCGGGGCCACCAUCCCGUGGAGCGGGAUCCCGCCGAAUUUCCGCGGGUUCGGGUCCAGGCUCGGCUUCACUUUGUACGUCGAGUACCCUCGUGGCAGCGGGAUUUUCCUCUCCAUAGCACCUGCGAAAGAAAUCCCGAUAAGCAUCAACCCUACGGCAUUUUCUUUUGUCACGUACAUUAUAGUUUGGACGUAUUUAUGCUAGGCCUUGUCUCCACGGGCCGUUUCACGGGAUUUGUCCCAGGGAAAACUCCCACUUACGAAGUUGGGAAAAAUAUUGAGUUAAUCAAUAUUUUUCCCAGUACCAAGUAUGGUUCUUUUACUCCUAGAGGGGAAGAAGAAGUGUAAACGAAUUGUGCGAUAUUUUGUUGAAUACUCCAUUGUUCACGUUUGUUUAGUUAAAAUAGUGUGUCUAAUUGUCAAUUGAGUGCAAUUAUUACUUUAAUUCCGGUUAAAUACUCGACUUUAAAUAAUUUAUCUUCCCGCGCAAACUAGUCGCAGGACCGUAUGAGCCCCGUCCCGUGGAGACGGAAAAAUCCCCGAAGUUUCAUUCCUGCGAUUCGAACUUGGGACAAAUCCCAUGAAAACGUCCCGUGGAGACAAGGCCCUAAAUGGAACUAUGUGCAAGUGGAAAAAUGGGUAUGCUCGUUAGUGGAGGGCCGUAAGAAUGAAUGGGACCUUAAAAGCGCCAGUGACGUCAGCGGCAACGACCGAGACCGGGAAGGACGGGGGGAUCGGUGGCGGGACUCUUUUAACUCAAGAGUACUGUCCACAAGGCUCUUGUCACAUGUCCACGGCUCGCACAAGUUAGCGCUCAGUUCCUUUUGAUUCAAUGGAAAAUCCCGCUUUCCCAUUUUCUCAAAAGGAACUGUAACCACGUUUACAUUGUUUUUUAUGCAGCUUGCACGAGCACACCCGAUCUUUUCACUUGCACAUAGUUCCAUUGAGCAUAAAUACGUCCAAAUGAAGUAAACCUCGGAAAGAGCCACUCUAAAAGAUAGAACGUCACGGACAUGGCACAUUUUGAAUAUGUACUUUGAGAAAAUAUUUUAAAAUUGAAUAUUCUCAUCAUAAACCUAACUCGAGGUUCUAUUACAAUUGUGUGUGCAUAUAUGGGUUGAACAUAACGUAGAGUUGGUAUAAUUGAUGUCCAUUAAAAUAUUUUUAUGACAAUCUAAAAGUUAUUUCCGUUUAACUAUCAGUGCACCAAUCACAGAUUUAGUAUCUCCGUAGACAUUGCAUAAAAGCUGAAAUCUUUGUCAAUGACGAAAGUCUUAAAUCGUUCUCUACUUUACAUACUUAUUCGUCUCAUUCGAAGAGUGAAAAUAAAACACAUUUUCCUGUUUACAAGAUUUUCACAAGGAUUCUCGGCUUUUUUUCAAAUGACCCAUGGUAAUGACGAAUUACUCGUACUUAUGGACUACAUUUUGCAAUUAGGAACUAUAAAUACCGGCCUGGUUUAAAAACAACGUAUGUGCCAUUAGUUUCCCUGUGCACAUAAGUGUUUUUUCACAUGAGCCAGAAUUUAUAGGUCCAAAUUGCAAAAUGCAGUCCAUAUUACACGCCGUGACCUAUCGGCCGAGCAACUAAACUAACCUCGGAGAAGAGCGUGCUGUAUCAAGCGAAAUUGAAGGC
RNAcentral lists this long non-coding RNA (5258 nucleotides) under Bemisia tabaci. RNAcentral's name for it is "lncRNA ENSSSA1UGG012748". The record is from RNAcentral. Lineage: Eukaryota; Metazoa; Arthropoda; Insecta; Hemiptera; Aleyrodidae.